CUAGCUCUGAUUCGCCUUCUGUUAAGUCAAAGGGGGCCUGGUUAGUUUCUGCUAGGGUACAGAUAAAUCAUAUUAUUGCUAGGGGUCAUGAGGGUAAAAUAA
Molecule: long non-coding RNA, 102 nt
Organism: Phyllostomus discolor (pale spear-nosed bat)
Lineage: Eukaryota; Metazoa; Chordata; Mammalia; Chiroptera; Phyllostomidae
Exons: 3
Source: RefSeq, a predicted model, not a curated record